Molecule: ribosomal RNA, 497 nt
Filed under: uncultured bacterium
Lineage: Bacteria
Description: partial 16S ribosomal RNA
Rfam family: Bacterial small subunit ribosomal RNA
Source: RNAcentral
GAUGAACGCUGGCGGCGUGCCUAAUACAUGCAAGUCGAGCGAACAGACGAGGAGCUUGCUCCUCUGACGUUAGCGGCGGACGGGUGAGUAACACGUGGAUAACCUACCUAUAAGACUGGGAUAACUUCGGGAAACCGGAGCUAAUACCGGAUAAUAUAUUGAACCGCAUGGUUCAAUAGUGAAAGACGGUUUUGCUGUCACUUAUAGAUGGAUCCGCGCCGCAUUAGCUAGUUGGUAAGGUAACAGCUUACCAAGGCAACGAUGCGUAGCCGACCUGAGAGGGUGAUCGGCCACACUGGAACUGAGACACGGUCCAGACUCCUACGGGAGGCAGCAGUAGGGAAUCUUCGGCAAUGGGCGAAAGCCUGACGGAGCAACGCCGCGUGAGUGAUGAAGGUCUUCGGAUCGUAAAACUCUGUUAUUAGGGAAGAACAAAUGUGUAAGUAACUAUGCACGUCUUGACGGUACCUAAUCAGAAAGCCACGGCUAACUACGUG